RNAcentral lists this long non-coding RNA (1090 nucleotides) under Strigops habroptila (Kakapo). RNAcentral's name for it is "lncRNA (ENSSHBG00005017748.1)". Lineage: Eukaryota; Metazoa; Chordata; Aves; Psittaciformes; Psittacidae. The record is from RNAcentral.
CGAUGCGGUCCAGCUUGAGGCCGAAGCAGCCCUUGCCCAGGCCCUUCUUGUGCAGGCCCUUGUGCCGGCGGCCCGGCGGGUCCUGCAGCAGCCGCGCCCAGCCCGCCCGCGGCCGAGCCUCGCCCCGCGCCUCCCGCGCCUCCCGCGGGCCCGAGCCGCCGCCGCCGCCGCUGCGCUCCUUCUCCCGCUCCUUCUCCCGCUCCGCCGCCGCCGCCGCCUCGGGCGGACCCGCUGCCGCCGCCGCCGAGCCGCGGGAGGCCUGAGGCGGGGGGGAGAAGCACCCUCAGCGGGACGGGGAGAAGGAGGAGCGCCGGGGUGCUCCUCCGGCCGUACCUUCUGUGGGAGCUGAGACGCCGGCUUCGCCUCCAGCCUGACGGAGAGCAGAGCGAGUAAAAGUCCACCAGCCAGCAAGGAUACCUUCCCCCCAGAAAGGGGGGUCUGGCAGCAUUUCAUCUGCAGUCUGGAGGUCCCAACAUGAGCCCAGGCUUGUCAGUUUUGGCGCUGAGCAUCCCUUUGGGAAGAUGUACUGCCCAAAGAACCUGAUUAACACUGAUGUAAACGAGCACCGGGCGGGCCCUUACUCCUCACUGAAACCGCAAGCAGAGGCGCCAAAGCCUUCGUAAGCAGGGCACUCCCAGCCAACGAGCCAUGCAGUGCUCUCACCUCGGCCGAGGUGCCGCAACACGUUCCAGCCUCCGACAUUGGGGAGCAGCUACCAGUUACUGCCUGGGGGAAGAUGGUGAGAUAAUCCUGCACUGUGGGAAAGGGAAAAAUCUGCCCAUGGACCUGCUCCCUUUCAGAAAGGCCAUGAGUUGCCAUGGAGAGGCAUAGAAGCAGCAGCAAGGCAACGCUCCUUUUUGCUUGGCAGCCACUAGGCUGGUGUGAAUAGAAGAUGGAGCCAAAGGCAAGACUGAAGCAGUCCAGUCCUUCCCUAGGAGGGAUUGCAUUUGGUGAGAUCCUGCAUGAGACACCGGCUUGCUGCCACAUUUGCACAUGGCCUCUUUGAAAGGGUGUGAAGGAUGGGCACGCAGCUAGUUCCAGCCACACAGGAAUCUGCUGCGUGCCUGUGGGGCAACAUGAGGUUGACAUG